AGGCAAGACAGGUAACACGUUUUGGUCAGAUGUAGAGAAAAUGGAGCUCUCAUAUAUUGCUGGUGGGAAUGUAGAUGGUGUAGCUGCUUCAGAAAAGUUUGGCAGGUCCUCAAAAGGUUAAACAUACAGUUACGACAUGAUCCAGCAUUCCACUCCAAGGUGUAUGUAGG
Long non-coding RNA from Sapajus apella (tufted capuchin), 170 nucleotides. RefSeq lists it as uncharacterized. NCBI's taxonomy places the organism in Eukaryota, Metazoa, Chordata, Mammalia, Primates, Cebidae. The transcript has 2 exons. The record is from RefSeq and is a predicted model, not a curated record.